This 463-nucleotide ribosomal RNA is filed under the name uncultured bacterium. RNAcentral's name for it is "partial 16S ribosomal RNA". It matches the Rfam family "Bacterial small subunit ribosomal RNA", at positions 28 to 507 of the family's 1533-position model. The record is from RNAcentral.
GAUGAACGCUGACAGAAUGCUUAACACAUGCAAGUCUUUGGCGAAGCUGUGCUUGCACAGCCUAGCCAAGUCGGACGGGUGAGUAACGCGUCAGGAACUUGCCCUGCAGUCAGGGAUAACAGACGGAAACGACUGAUAAGACCUGGUAAAGUCAGGCGGACUCAUGUCCAGCCUGAUGAAAAGAGAUGCUGCAGGAGAGCCUUGCGUCCUAUUAGCUUGUUGGUGGGGUAACGGCCCACCAAGGCGAUGAUAGGUAGCCGGCCUGAGAGGGUGGACGGCCACAAGGGGACUGAGAUACGGCACUUACUCCUACGGGAGGCAGCAGUGGGGAAUAUUGGACAAUGGGGGCAACCCUGAUCCAGCAAUUCGGUGUGCACGAUGAAGGUUUUCGGAUUGUAAAGUGCUUUCAGCAGGGAAGAAAAAAAUGACGGUACCUGCAGAAGAAGCGACGGCUAAAUACGUG